CGCGUAGGCGGUCCGCUAAGUUGGAUGUGAAAACUCUGGGCUUAACCCAGAGCCUGCAUUCAAAACUGACGGGCUAGAGUUCUGGAGGGGGUAGCGGAAUUCCUGGUGUAGCGGUGAAAUGCGUAGAUAUCAGGAGGAACACCGGUGGCGAAGGCGGCUACCUGGACAGAAACUGACGCUGAGGCGCGAAAGCUAGGGGAGCAAACA
RNAcentral lists this ribosomal RNA (207 nucleotides) under uncultured bacterium. Its description in RNAcentral is "partial 16S ribosomal RNA". It matches the Rfam family "Bacterial small subunit ribosomal RNA", at positions 568 to 774 of the family's 1533-position model. The record is from RNAcentral.